CCCCUAGACGUUCUGGGCCGCACGCGCGCUACACUGACACAGGCAACGAGCUUUCCUUUACCGAAAGGUAUGGGUAAUCUUUUGAAACUGUGUCGUGCUGGGGAUAGAUCCUUGCAAUUUUUGAUCUUAAACGAGGAAUUCCUAGUAAGCGCGAGUCAUCAACUCGCGUUGAUUACGUCCCUGCCCUUUGUACACACCGCCCGUCGCUACUACCGAUUGAAUGGCUUAGUGAGGCCUCAGGAUCCGCGCUUAAUGUGUGGAGAAUUUGGACAAACUACGUCAUUUAGAGGAAGUAAAAGUCGUAACA
RNAcentral lists this ribosomal RNA (307 nucleotides) under uncultured eukaryote. RNAcentral describes it as "partial 18S ribosomal RNA". It matches the Rfam family "Eukaryotic small subunit ribosomal RNA", at positions 1470 to 1796 of the family's 1831-position model. The record is from RNAcentral.